RNAcentral lists this ribosomal RNA (229 nucleotides) under uncultured bacterium. RNAcentral describes it as "partial 16S ribosomal RNA". It matches the Rfam family "Bacterial small subunit ribosomal RNA", at positions 568 to 796 of the family's 1533-position model. The record is from RNAcentral.
CAUGUAGGCGGCAUGACAAGUCUGGUGUGAAAUAUCUCGGCUCAACCGAGAAAACUCACUGGAAACUGUCAAGCUUGAGUAUCGGAGGGGAAGCUAGAAUUCCUGGUGUAGGGGUGAAAUCUGUAGAUAUCAGGAAGAAUACCGGUGGCGAAGGCGAGCUUCUGGCCAGAUACUGACGCUGAGAUGCGAAAGCGUGGGGAGCGAACAGGAUUAGAUACCCUGGUAGUCC